Protobothrops mucrosquamatus (brown spotted pit viper) is the source of this 848-nucleotide RNA transcript. It is a transcript of the gene named smoothelin-like protein 1, with no coding region annotated. The transcript is spliced from 3 exons. The record is from RefSeq and is a predicted model, not a curated record. Lineage: Eukaryota; Metazoa; Chordata; Lepidosauria; Squamata; Viperidae.
GACAUCCAGAACUUUUCCACCAGUUGGAAAAGUGGAAUGGCUUUUUGUGCCCUCAUCCACAAGUUCUUUCCUGAUGCCUUUGACUACGCAAACCUUGAUCCAGCAAAUCGGAAAGAUAAUUUCACCCUGGCCUUCUCUACUGCUGAGAAAUAUGCAGACUGUGCUCAACUCCUGGAGGUGGAUGACAUGGUGCACAUGAGUGUUCCUGAUAAUAAGUGCAUCUACACCUAUAUCCAGGAACUUUAUCGCAGCUUGGUGGAGAAAGGACUAGUAAAGACCAAGAAGAAAUAGAAAUGCAAAGCAGGCUUUGGCUUCAGGCUCAUUGGAAGCUAUAUAAAAACUUGGUAGGACAGAGGGAAUGCAACAUGGGAUGUAUAUAUUCUGCAAUUUUCCGAGCAUGGAACUGGAACCAACUACUACUACUUAACCCUCAUUAGCAGUAAAAUCUGCUAUGCACCACCCUUCUGCCACCUGAAAAGAGCAGGAAAGGAACGCUUACUGAUGCCAUGCCAGCAUUUCAAGCAGAGCAGAACUGAGUCUGCCCCAUAUGUACGAGACUCAGAAGAAGUGUUACCAUCAGCAACUCUGCAUCCUCUUUUUGGGUUGCAAAAGUGUUCCUGCAACCCAUGCUGCAAUCACUCUUUCCCUGACCAGGCACCGGUACUAUUAAAGCACAAAUGUACCAAGUCAAGGUUGUCACACAAUAUUUUUAUGCUGCAUUCUGUUUUAGCAAUGGCAGCUCAGGUGCCCUAUGGCGUGGUUUCCAAGGGAGAAUGCAAACAUGUUCUCUGUUUGAAGUAGCUGCCCAGGCAUAUUAGAAUGGUUUGAGCAGUGCAGCAUAUGUGACC